GGUAAAAGAGAUAGCCCAUUAUUACUGUGGAAUCUUGAUUAACCACACAAAUAGAAAAACUAAAUACUAUAAUGAGAGAUGCAUUACCAGCAAGAUUAAAACUCCAAAUCACAUUAAGAUAUUUGACAUCUGGAGACUCAUUUGUUUCUUUGCAAUACUUAUACAUAGUACCAAAAUGUACCAUUUUAAAAUUUUUACCUGAAGUGUGAUUAAUAUAUAGUUGCUAAAAAAUUACAUAAAAGUUCCAAAUACCCAAAAAGAAUUGAAUGAUAUAAAAAAAGGAUUUUCAAUUAGAUGGAAUUUUCCUGGUUGUGAUGGAGCCCUGGAUGGCAAACAUGUAGUUUUAAGAGCACCGUUCGAACUUUUAUAAUUAUAAAGGCUCAUUUAACAUUA
Molecule: long non-coding RNA, 393 nt
Organism: Sipha flava (yellow sugarcane aphid)
Lineage: Eukaryota; Metazoa; Arthropoda; Insecta; Hemiptera; Aphididae
Exons: 2
Source: RefSeq, a predicted model, not a curated record